GACGAACGCUGGCGGCGUGCUUAACACAUGCAAGUCGAACGGAAAGGCCCUGCUUUUGUGGGGUGCUCGAGUGGCGAACGGGUGAGUAACACGUGAGUAACCUGCCCUUGACUUUGGGAUAACUUCAGGAAACUGGGGCUAAUACCGGAUAGGAGCUCCUGCUGCAUGGUGGGGGUUGGAAAGUUUCGGCGGUUGGGGAUGGACUCGCGGCUUAUCAGCUUGUUGGUGGGGUAGUGGCUUACCAAGGCUUUGACGGGUAGCCGGCCUGGGAGGGUGACCGGCGACAUUGGGACUGAGAUACGGCCCAGACUCCUACGGUAGGCAGCAGUGGGGAAUAUUGCACAAUGGGCGGAAGCCUGAUGCAGCAACGCCGCGUGCGGGAUGACGGCCUUCGGGGUGUAAACCGCUUUCGCCUGUGACGAAGCGUGAGUGACGGUAAUGGGUAAAGAAGCACCGGCUAACUACGUG
RNAcentral lists this ribosomal RNA (468 nucleotides) under uncultured bacterium. RNAcentral's name for it is "partial 16S ribosomal RNA". It matches the Rfam family "Bacterial small subunit ribosomal RNA", at positions 28 to 507 of the family's 1533-position model. The record is from RNAcentral.